GAUGAACGCUGGCGGCGUGCUUAACACAUGCAAGUCGAACGGAAAGGCCAGUGCUUGCACUGGUACUCGAGUGGCGAACGGGUGAGUAACACGUGGGUGAUCUGCCCUGCACUUCGGGAUAAGCCUGGGAAACUGGGUCUAAUACCGGAUAGGACAAUGGUUUGGAUGCCGUUGUGGAAAGUUUUUCGGUGUGGGAUGAGCUCGCGGCCUAUCAGCUUGUUGGGGGGGUAAUGGCCUACCAAGGCGUCGACGGGUAGCCGGCCUGAGAGGGUGUACGGCCACAUUGGGACUGAGAUACGGCCCAGACUCCUACGGGAGGCAGCAGUGGGGAAUAUUGCACAAUGGGCGCAAGCCUGAUGCAGCGACGCCGCGUGGGGGAUGACGGCCUUCGGGUUGUAAACUCCUUUCGCUAGGGACGAAGCGUAUUUGUGACGGUACCUGGAGAAGAAGCACCGGCUAACUACGUG
Molecule: ribosomal RNA, 467 nt
Filed under: uncultured bacterium
Lineage: Bacteria
Description: partial 16S ribosomal RNA
Rfam family: Bacterial small subunit ribosomal RNA
Source: RNAcentral